This 66-nucleotide transfer RNA is filed under the name Anomopsocus sp. AnspLA. RNAcentral describes it as "tRNA-Trp". Lineage: Eukaryota; Metazoa; Arthropoda; Insecta; Psocodea; Lachesillidae. The record is from RNAcentral.
AAGGUUUUAAGUUAAAAAAACUUUUAACCUUCAAAGUUAACUAUAAAUAUAAGUAUUUAAACCUUA